CAAAAAAAAAAAAAAAGAAUUUUCUUCUAUUUUUGCCAUCAGUACUGGUGAUGAUGGUCUGGUUUCUACAAAAUGCAUCUCCUCAAUCUUGAUUGAUUUGUAUGCCAGAACUAUCUGCUGCAGAGGGCUUCUCUAUUAAAAUCAGUCAUCCCUAGUUACAAUGGUAGGUAUUUGGCCAUGAUUAACUAAAUCAAUCUUAUUCAAACGCACACAGCACAGAGCUUGCUCUGGCAGUUCCUCUGGCUUUUGUGCCUGAAUAGUUAAGCCCACAUUAGCUAUCCCAUCCUUCAUACGCUCUCGGAAUGCUUCAAGUCCUUUCCGAGAUAUGUAGCUGAAACGGUGUAUAUCUAGGUCAAUCUCCAAAUAAUUAGGUCCCCUAUAGAAUUCGUGCUGAGGGCGCGAAAGUACUGGCUUAUCAUUAUAAGCUUGUAUAAGCUUCCUUUCUGUAGAACUCAACUGCAAAUCCUCUGGAUUAACCAACCCUACCAGAAUUUUUAGCCUUUCUCUGAAAGGAACUGUUGACUCCUUUGCAAAUCCUCUAACCUUCUCCAUAUCAUCCUCAACCAGUCUCUUGAUGGAGUCUUGAAAGUGAGGAGAGGUCUCCUUGUCAAAAUUCUCAGAUAGUUUAAAAUAUAAUACAAGGCUCAUGCCUUCCCCAUCACAAUCACCUUGGAACAUGGCAACAGGAUAAGUGGGAAGCUGUAUGUUAACAAUUAGAAGUGAUGGCACAUUCUCAUGUGGUUGCACAUAAGGAAGCUCAAGGUGUUGAGCAAUAUGAUUUAUCUUUCGUGGGCAUGCAAAUAAAUCAGCACCCAUUGGUACAUAGGGGCUGAAAUUUGGAGCAGGGGACUUCUGCUUAUCUCUGCAUUAUUAGUUUUUUGAUGUUCAAACUCCAUGAGAAAAAUAGAAAGGAAACCAAAAAACCUAAAGAAUACAUUCCCAUACUAAGUAUGCAGAAAUGACUUGUGACUACGGUGAGUGAUAACAUGCCUGAAAUAAUUCUCGCCCCGAAGUUUAAAAACCGAAGGUGAAACCUCAGCCCAACAUCCUGGAGUAGGCUUCUCCCCUUUUGAACUUGGAAUUUGAAAUCCUGCUCUCGGGCGAUAUAACAAUCUCCCAGCUGCACCAGCUUAAGCAUCGAGUCAUGAUUAGUAAAGAACAGCACUUAUAUUCAAAUUAUUUACAAACAAGACGGCAAUUUUAUUUUUCACCAGUUUAUAUUCAAUUCACAACUUACAGAAAUCAGUGAAUGAACUGUUCUAUUAACAAAACUUGGCUUUGGAAAAUAGAAUUCAUGAUCACGUACUUAGCAUUGCUUUGUGUUUCAUGUGUGGUAGUGGCACUUCUACUAUUAGUAAGAAAUAAACCAUAUUGCAAAAGUUGAAAAGCAGCGUUUUCAACUAAUUAAAUUCUAAGCAUACUAAAAACAAUUACUGUGAAUACUCACAGAAUUGGGUCUUUUCCUCUCCAUCACAGGAUUUCCUCUUUAAAGAAACCAUAAUAACUGUUGAUUUCCUUCUAUUUUCUUGAACUUUCUCUCCAGAGUCACAAGUGAGCUCUUUAAGACCUUUGAAACUUCCAUAAGGAUCAUCAACAACUUUCUUUGUCUUCGUAGCAAUGUCAUCACCUUUAGGAACCCCUCCAUCUAUUUUCAGGUAACUUUCAUAGAACCCCUCAUACUUGCUUCCAGUAUCUAAGAUGCGUGAUGCAGUUCCAUACUGAAGCAAUUGAGUGCUUGGUUUUUGCCCAAUUGUACUACCAACACAAGAAAAACCAUCUCCAUGCACACUACUGAAGUCAUCAUCUGAAUCUGAGUCCAUAAUACUGACAGAAUCAAACCAUACUUCCUCUUGGCAUAUUCCAUUUGCAUCAAUUUGGCUAUGGUUCCAUUGUAGCUGUGUAUGAUGGAAAGUCUUGUUAGAAGCUUCAGAUCUUCUGCAGGUAGUUGCAGCACCCUUCUCAAAAUCAAGAUGAACAUACUCGCUAAGGGUAUAAUCUCCUAUUGUAGAAUCACUAAACCGUUUGAUAGGUACAUCAGGAAUAGAAGUGGAAAUCUUUCUACGGCGUUUGGCAGAUUUGCGGAGGUGUUUCCUAUAUGAUCUUGUUCUUCUAUUGGCUGUUGAGACGCAUCCACCCAUUGUGACUACAACCUUCUAUAAACACCAAACUAGUAAAUGGUUUUUUCAAAGAGAAGGCACCAAGAACACAAGAUUGAGGAGAGAACAGGAACCUGCAAUAUUUUCCUUCCUGCCAAAUACAGGAGAAAAACUAUCAAAGCGGAUGAUUGAGUAGAAUUCCAUACUAGAGCAAGCCUCUUAACACAAAAGUUAUAGUAGUUAACCAUAAAUAUUCAAGGCAGAACAAUAUAUAAAGAAUAACAAGAAAAACCACAAAUUGAAACAGUUGUAAAAGAAGAAAGUCAUGUUUGCAUGCCUUCAGGUGAUGAGAACAUCUGCAGAAAAUACCAUUUCAUUUUCUUCUCCAAGUUCACACACCAAUUUCAACAUUUUUCCAAUGGUUUCAAGUUCUCACAAGUAUAUUAUCAUAAAGCUGAACGUUUGCCCAGGAUGAUUCCAAUUUGACAACAGCAUCAACAAUUUAAGGCCUAAGUCUAAGCAGGAAGGUAACAAAAUCAUGAAUCAAUUUGGGUUUGCUAUAAAAUAUGUAAUCUCUCUCUAAAAGCAUAAGAGAGGAUCAAAUGAUUUUGUAUUGAAGAAAGAACAAGUGAAUCAUCAGGGUGUAAAAGGGGAGAAAAGAUUGCUAUGAGUCCACAUCAUGUAAGAUAGAAAAAAAGACAAAUGAUGAACAUGAAAAAGUAUUAAACAAAUGAUGAACAUGAAAAAUAUUAAGUCCCUAUCAGAGGGCACAAGUUCCUCCUAGUUAAAAUGUGAUGUGUUUAACUGUUGACACAUUUGAGGGGAGGAAAAAAAAAACACCAUAUAGGACCCAUUUGAGUAUCAGACAGAAUCGUCAUCAACUAGAACAAAAAAAAAUCAAGAAAUGUAAUGUGAAAAAACCCAAAAUGGAAAUUUUCUACAGCAUGAAACAAAAAAAGAAACUUUUACAGAUACAAACAGGUAAUAACAGAACAUUGAUUGAAAUGAACUAUGGCAAUGCAUGAAACGGAAGCAUGAAAAGAAAGGAAACGAAAGG
This 3153-nucleotide unclassified non-coding RNA is filed under the name Hevea brasiliensis (rubber tree). Lineage: Eukaryota; Viridiplantae; Streptophyta; Magnoliopsida; Malpighiales; Euphorbiaceae. The record is from RNAcentral.